UACGUAGGGUGCGAGCGUUAAUCGGAAUUACUGGGCGUAAAGCGUGCGCAGGCGGCUUUGCAAGACAGAUGUGAAAUCCCCGGGCUCAACCUGGGAACUGCAUUUGUGACUGCAUAGCUAGAGUGCGGCAGAGGGGGAUGGAAUUCCGCGUGUAGCAGUGAAAUGCGUAGAUAUGCGGAGGAACACCGAUGGCGAAGGCAAUCCCCUGGGCCUGCACUGACGCUCAUGCACGAAAGCGUGGGGAGCAAACAGG
Molecule: ribosomal RNA, 253 nt
Filed under: uncultured bacterium
Lineage: Bacteria
Description: partial 16S ribosomal RNA
Rfam family: Bacterial small subunit ribosomal RNA
Source: RNAcentral